AACCAGGGCACCCCGCGCCGGCUGAGGAGGCCGCACCUCGCCGGACGGCUGAGGGCGGGCGACGGGCGGCGCCGGCGGACGGGCCGCGACGCCAGGGAAGGUCAGGCGGCCCGGGGCGUCCUGCGACUGCCCGAGGUCGGAGGCCCGGAGGACCCGCCGCCGCCUUUGUGUCACCAGCCCCCGCCCCGCUGGACUGGCCCGGGCCGGGGCGGUUGGGCCGGCGCUGAAGAGGCUUGGCCGCCCGGGUCCACCCGUUCCCGGAUCCGCCUCGGCGGCCCCCGCGCCCGCCCAACCCCUGCCCAACCCCUCGGCUCCGCGAGUUUGGGUGAGAAGUGCGGCGGCUUUUCCCAGGGAUGGAGUUUAGAGGACGCUAAUCCUAUGUGCGAGCGGCGGACCCCGCCCGGAUUUCCCGGAGGCGCCCGGUUAGUGAGGCGACGGCGCCCACCCGCGUUCGCGGGCUCCCGACCGCCACUCCCCGGAGCCGCCGGCCCGCCCCAGCCCCGCGCGUCGCCCCGGAGGGCGGGCUGCACUCCCUCCACGCACCUGGCUGGCAGAGCGUCUCCAGGGACAAAAGGUGCCCUGGCAUCAAAGCCGAGCCCCCGCCCCCGCCGGGAUGCUGCCCUCCGGAAGGAGGGGCGCUGCCCCCAAGGUACUCUCCCCGGGCACCCAGGGGGAGGUUCCAUUUCAACCUCCGAUGAAAAACACGGCCCUCCCGGGUAUUUAGGAGGGUCUGAGGGUAAGUGCCAAGAUGGAGAAAACACACCGGCCCCUCACAGAGUAUCUCCUGAGGAAUGACAACUAUCUAGUGGGCAAGGAGGGCUUCCUGCAUAGCAGAGGGCACCCCCUCUGAUCCCCCAACGCCAAGGGAAAAAAAUCACUCUUCACCGGCUCCCCUGAGCCAGGACAGGCUCCAGUGCAGCCACCCACCUUAUAAUUUUCCGCGGAUGCUGCCUUGAUCAGAUAGAUCUGAAGAUGACUUUAAGGACUACAAGCAAAUCUCAAGGGAAAAAUUCAGACCUUGAACAACAGCCUUGAACUUUUUCAGGGUUAGACAAGUACUCCCCUGUGGAGUUUCUGCCCUUAUUUCUUCGUUCUUCUGUUAAUUCUUCCAUAUUUUAACAGAACACAGACCUGCCGAAACGACACAGGAUGGCGCUUUGCUUUUUGUUAGUUCUCCAACCUUCCAAACCCUUGGGGCACAUGCAAGCACUGUGGAAAAACUCCAUUAAACCAAGAGUCAUCUUACUCCAGAUCCCAGACUGCUUGGGAAGUUGGACAUGCAUAUUCCCAAAGAGAACAGUGUUGGAAGGAGACAGGAGAGCAGCUCGGGGGUUGGGGGUAGAGGGUAGGAAAAGAGGGCAAGAUGGAUGACUACCACUCGAGGCCAGCCUCCACUGCCUGUUAGGGCAGUAGAACCUAAGAGCCGGUCCAAGGCAACACAAAAGACAGUGAGGCUAGGUCUUUCAUUGCAGCCAACGAUCAAGAAAGCAACUCCAUCAAAUGACACUGUCUUUUAAAAAAAAAUUUUUUUUUUGAGACAGAGUCUCGCUCUGUCGCCCAGGCUGGAGUGCAGUGGUGCGAUCUUGGCUCACUGCAACCUCUGCCACCCGGGUUCAAGCAGUUCUCCCUGCCUCAGCCUCCUGAGUAGCUGAGAUUACAGGCACGCGCUACCAGGCCCGGCUAAUUUUUUUUUUUUUUGGUGGAGUCGAGGUUUUGCCAUGUUGGCCACGUUGGUCUCGAAUUCCUGACCUCAGGUGAUCCGCCCAUCUCAGCCUCCCAAAGUGCUGGGAUUUCAAGCGUUAGCCACCGCGCCCGACCAAAUGACACUGUCUUAAAUGAUUUAAUGUCUUAAAUCGGGAAAGGAGAGUAAGAGAAAGCACUCAACGGAGUCAGAGGUGUCUUGCAGCCUAGCUCUUUCCACAGACAAGCUACAUGGGCCUAUCAUCUAACCUUUUCAAGCUUCUCCGACUGCUUCUGUGUUGGAGGGAUUUGGGCUAGAGGAUCUUUUUAUUUUUUUUUAUUUUAUUUUGGUGACGGAGUCUCUCACUGUCGCCCGGGCUGAAGCAGGAGAAUUCGCUUGAACCCGGGAGGCAGAGGUUGCAGUGAGCCAAGAUGGCACCACUGCACUCCAUUCUGGGUGACAGAGUGAGACCCUGUCUCAAAAAUAAUGAUAAUAAAAUAAAAGUAAUUAUUUAAGGCUGGGAGCGGUGGCUCAUGCCUGUAAUCACAGCACUUUGGGAGGCCGAGGUGGGUGGAUCAUGAGGUCAGGAGGUCGAGACCAUCCUGUCUAACACAGUGAAACCCUGUCUCUACUAAAAAUACAAAAAAAUUAGCCAGGCAUGGUGGCGGGCGCCUGUAGUCCCAGCUACUCGGGAGGCUGAGGCAGGAGAAUCGCUUGAACCCAGAAGGCGGAGGUUGCAGUAAGCCGAGAUCACACCACUGCACUCCAGCCUGGGUGACAGAGCGAGACUCCGUCUCAAAAAAAAUUAUUAUUAUUAUUUAAAAUAAUCAUUGGGCCUGGUGCGGUGGCUCACACCUGUAAUCCUAGCACUUUGGGAGGCCAAGGCGGGCGGAUCACGAGGUCAGGAGAUUGAGAUCCAACCUGGCCAACAUGGUGAAACCCCAUCUCUACUAAAAAUAUUUUUUUAAUUAGCUGGGCGUGGCGGCGGGCACCUGUAAUCCCAGCUAGUCGGGAGACUGAGGCAGGAGAAUCGCUUGAACCUGGGAGUCGAAGGUUUCAGUGAGCCGAGGUCGUGCCACUGCAAUCCACCUGGCCAACAGAGCAAGACUCUGUCUCUAAAAUAAUAAUUUUUAUUAUUGUUAUUCUUGACAGGCCAGUGUAGAACAGGUGGGGCAUCUAUGGUGACAGAACUGGGUUCCAAUUCUGUCCCUUCACCUGUCCCAGGUUCCUCAUCUGAAAACUGUGACCCAGUAAACCUAAUUUCAUGAGCAGCUUUCAUUAAAAUUGAAAUAAUGGUGGAAAAUGCCUUGUAACCGUGCUUGAUGUAGAGUAGUUACUUAGCCAGUUAUUUCCUCUCUUCUUCCCAUUCCUAACAAAAUGGAAAAACGUUUGGUUGCUAGGAAAGAGCCUUAAGGGGAUUUUGUUGUUGUUUGACUCUAUCGCCCAGGAUGGAGUGCAAUGGCACAAUCUCUGCUCAGUGCAACCUCCGCCAUAGACAGGAGCCAAGCGUAGUGGUGUGCACCUGUCGGUAGUUCCAGCCUCUUAGGAGGCUGAGGCAGGAGGAUUGCUUGAGGCCAGGAGUUUGAGUCUAGCUUGGGCAAUAUAUUGAAACCUUGUCUCUUAAAAAAAAAAAAAAAAAAGAGGCCAGGUGUGGUGGCUCACACCUGUAAUCCCAGCACAUUGGGAGGCCGAGGCAGUGGAUCACUUGACACCAGGAGUUCGAGACCAGCCUGGGCAACAUGCAAACUUAUGUCUUUUAGGCCGGGCGCGGUGGCUCACACCUGUAAUACCAGCACUUUGGUAGGCCGAGGCGGGCAGAUCACGAGGUCAGGAGAUCGAGACCAUCCUGGCUAAGAUGAAACCCAGUCUCUACUAAAAAUAAAAAAAAAUUAGCCGGGUGUGGUGGCUGGCGCCUGUAGUCCCGGCUACUUGGGAGGCUGAGGCAGGAGAAUGGCAUGAACCCAGGAGGUGGAGUUUGCAGUAAGCCAAGACAGCACCACUGCACUCCAGCCCAGGCAACAGAGCUAGACGCCCUCUCAAAAAAAAAAAAAAAUUACAUCUUUAAAAAAAAAUGCAGGGCCGGGUGCGGUGGCUCAUGCCUGUAAUCCCAGCACUUUGGGAGGCCGAGGCGGGCGAAUCACGAGGUCAGGAGAUCGAGAGCAUCCUGGCUAACACAGUGAAACCCUGUCUCUAGUAAAAAUACAAAAAAUUAGCCAGGCGUGGCAGCAUGCGUCUGUAGUCCCAGCUGCUGGGGAGGCUGAGGCAGGAGAAUGGCGUGAACCCAGGAGGCAGAGCUUGCAGUGAGCCAAGGUCCCGCCACUGCACUCCAGCCUGGGCGACAGAGCGAGACUCGGUCUCAAAAAAUAAUAAUUAACAAAAAAAAAAAAAUACAAAAGUUAGUUGCACAUGUUGCCAUAUGCUCGUGGUCCCAGCUACUCAGCAGGCUGAGGUUGGGAGAUCACUUGAGCCCAGAAGGUGGAGGUUGCAGUGAGCUGAGAACCCACCAUUGUACUCCAGCCUGCGUGUCAGUGAGAUUCUGUCUCAAAAAAAAAAAGAAAAGAAAAAAAAUCUAGGCUAUGCUCCCUAGUAUGGGAAAUCUAGUCUAGUCAUUUGACAGAAUCAGGCUUUGCAGGCCAUAUUGUCUCUGUCGUAACUACCAACUCUGCUGGUUAAAAGGGAAGUAGCCACAAACAAUAUCUGAAUGAUGGAUUAUGGCUGUGUUCCAAUAAAACUUUAUUUGCAAAAACAGGUUGCUGGUUGCAAGGUAGUUUUCCAACCUCUACGUGAUUCUCAGACUUUAGGUUGCAUCAUAAUCACCUGGAGGGCUUGUUCAAACGCAGAUUGCUGGGCCCCACCCCCAGAAUUUUUGAUUCAGCCAGUCUGGGGUGGGGCUGAUAUUUGUAUUUCUACCAACUUUCCAGGUGAGGCUGGCUGAUGAUGGUCUGGAAACCACUUUGAAAACCUCUGAAGCUUUUCUCAACUCCCUUCUUUGUGUACCUAAAACACUUUAUCCCUACUGUAGAUGUAGCAUUAGCGUGUUAUAUUAGUUUAGUGAUUGGUGUGUGGGUCUCUGGGAGCCUUUCUGAAUCACCUCCCUAGCCUAGUGCCUGACAAUAGCAAUUUGCUCCCCAUUCAUUGACUGAACUGAAACCGGAGGGUCAUGGUCAUCAUCAUUGUUCCAAGCCAUAGAUAGAAGAUGAAGUCACCACCCCUGAUCUCAGAGCUCAUCAGAGUAGAGCUUGGGCUGGACCCUGCCCUUCUCUGCAGUGAGCAGUUUUCUCUGUGGAGCUCUGUGCAACCUGGAGCCAGUCCUGCCUGGGGUAAGAGGAAAAAAGACUCCUUCCCCCCAGCCCCACAGCCUGUACGCAAACACACCGGGAGACAUGACCUGCUCAGAGGAGACCUGGAACCAAGGGAAUAAAAUGAGAGUGGGUUGGGGGCUGCUGUUAGUUAUUUUUUGCUUGUAAGUGGACAAUUUGUGGUGUGGUGUGUGAAUUUGGGGUCUUAAAUCCAGAUAGCUGUCUGCUGUGGACAGCCACUGUUUCUGAAUUACAGGGCAUUUCAAGUGACCUGUGGUCAGGAUGUUUUCUCAGAUCAGGCAAAAUCAAUUGGUCCUGAUAAUAACCAGGGGAGUUGUACUUUCCCUAUCUUGAGUAGAAGAAGCCACAGCUCCCGGGUCCACCUGCCUCUCCUGACUGCCCACCUCCUGGCUUUUUCUUUUUCUUUUUUUUUUUUUUUUUUUUGAGACGGGGUCUUGCUCCAUUGCCUAGGCUGGAGUGCAGUGGUGCGAUCUCAGCUCACUGCAACCUGGGCCUCCUGGGUUCAAGAGAUUCUCCUGCUUCAGCCUAGCGAGGAGCUGGGAUUACAGACGCGCGCCACCUCGCCCAGCUAAUUUUUUUAUAUUUUUAGUAGAGACGGGGUUUCACCGUGUUAGCCAGGAUGCUCUCGAUCUCCCGACCUCGUGAUCUGCCCGCCUCGGCCUCCCAAAGUGCUGGGAUUACAGGUGUGAGCCACCGUGCCCGGCCGGCCUCCUGGCUUUUAUCCUGGGGGCACUGCAAGUAGAGCCAGGCAUGUGGCCCAUGCAUCCUUCCCAGCCUCUUUCCUGCUGGGCAUGGAGGAGGAGGCACUGCCAGGAGCUCCCCACAGACAGGCGCUGCUUACUGAUGGGUUGGCUGCAAACUGUAGGCAUAACAGUUACCUUCCUCUUCACAACCCCCAGGCCUGACGAGGCUUACAUGGGAAUUGCUUUGAUUUGUGAAGUCUUAAGACUAUACUGCUGGGCGAGGUGGCUCAAGCCGGUAAUCCCAGCACUUUGGGAGGCUGAGGCGGGCGGAUCACGAGGUCAGGAGAUCAAGACCAUCCUGGCUAACACAGUGAAACCCUGUCUCUACUAAAAACACAAAAAAUUAGCCGGACAUGGUGGGGGGGUGCCUGUAGUCCCAGCUACUUGGGAGGCUGAGGCAGGAGAAUGGCACGAACCCGGGAGGCAGAACUUGCAGUGAGCCGAAAUCACACCACUGCACUCUGCACUCCAGCCUGGGUGACAGAGCGAGACUCUGUCUUAAAAAAAAAAAAAAAAAGACUAUACUACCUAAUCUUCCAUGCCUCGCUCUUUCCACAUUAAUAGACAAAACCAGGAAAAAGGACUGCUUCCCCUCCAGCUCUUGAUUGGGCUCCAUAAGAACUGCCAAAAGGCCAGGCAGCAUUUGCUACUCUUCUGGGGUUCACUUCUGAAAGGUGCGACCCUGCAACCUAGAGCACAGGGAAGUUAGGACAGCAAAGGAGCUGGGCUGAGCCGACGCUGGCUUAGAACUCUUUCUGAUACUCCCUGUUCCCGCCAGCUCGUUAGCCCAGCCUGCCAAUCAGUUUUGCAUCAAUAAACUUUAUGUUCUGAGGUUGGCCAGAUGAAUGAGAGGAGAGCAGCUAAAGACUGAUCUCUGACCUUGGCACGUAAACAGCCUCCAGAUUGGACUUGACAGUUAAUAAAGGAAAGGCCCUGCAAUUCUCUGAUGUCUUUUUGCCUUAAUUAGAUUGAGCAUUCAAAGGCUAUGGGGAAAUCUUCCAUUUGAAGAGAAAGACCUCACAAGACAGGAAGUCACUUCACUCAUUCAUUCUUUCAGACUGUCAAUCAUUCGGUCUACAGUCACUGGCAUUUGUCAAAUGCCCUAUUACCUGUGCUCAGCACUAUGCUAACUGCUUUUGAGUCGAGUGGCUGCAAGAAUUCCAGAAGUCCAUGCCGUGCUCUUCUGGAAGACUGCACAGCCAGGCAGUCAAGAGCACAAGCUUCAGUUUAACAUAUCUGAGCUCAAAUCCUGAUUCUGCCAUGUGACUUUUGGCAAGUUAUUUAAACUCUCUGCCUUUAGUUUCCUCUUGGAGUAAAUAAUACCAACUUCCACAGGUUGUCAUCAAGGCCAAGUGAGACCAUCUGUGUAAAGUGGGCAGCACAGAGCCUGGUCGUUGGCAGGUGCCUGGUGGCCAUGAACAUGACAGUGCCUGCACUUGGCUGAACUGUCAGGCCGAAAAGCCUCCCUUCCUUCCUUCUCUCACCUCCCCCAUUCCUGGCAUGCUGCCAGUCACUGGGGAGCUGAUGAUGACUCACAAUCCCUGCCCUCAGUGAUAUUAUAAAUCUAUUGUUGGCCGAGCACUGUGGCACAAUGCUUGUAAUCCCAGCACUUUUGGGAGGCUGAGGCAGAAGGAUCACUUGAGGCCAGAAGUUUGAGACCAGCUUGGGCAACAUACCAGGAUACCAUCUCUACCGAAAAUUUAAAAAUUAGCCAGGCAUGGUGGUGUGCACCUGUAGUCCUAGCUACUUGGGAGUUGGGAGGCUAAGGCAGAAGGAUCGUUUGAGCCUCGCAGUUCAGGGUUACGGCCUGGGUGAAAGAGGGAGACCCUGUCCCUUUAAAAAUAAAAAUAAACUAUUGGCCAGGCAUGGUGGCUCACGGCUGUAAUACCAGGACUUUGGGAGGCUGAGGCAGGUGGAUCACUUGAGGCCUGGAGUUCAAGACCAGCCUGGCCAACAGAGUGAAACCCUGUCUCUACUAAUAAUACAAAAAAUUAGCCAGGCGUGGUGGCACAUGCCUAUAAUCCCAGCUACUCAGGAGGCUGAGGCAGGAGAAUUGCUUGAACCUGGGAGGCAGAGGUCGCAGUGAGCCGAGAUCGCACUGCUGUACUCCAGCAUGGACCACAGUGGGAGACUCCCUCUCAAACGCGCGCGUGCACACACACACACACACACACACACACACACACCAAAAAACAGGACGGCCGGGCACAGUGGCUCCUGCCUGUAAUCCCAGCACUUUGGGAGGCCGAGGUGGGCAGAUCAUGAGGUCAGGAGUUUGAGACCAGCCUGGCCAAUAUGGUGAAACCCUGACUCUACUAAAAAUACAAAAAUUAGCCGGGCAUCAUGGCACGUGCCAAUAGUCCCAGCUACUUGGGAGGCUGAGGCAGAAAAAUCGCUUGAACCUGGGAGGUGGGAGGUUGCAGUGAGCGGAGAUCAUGCCACUGCACUCCAGCCUGGGCAAUAGAGUGAGACUCAGUCUCAAAAAAAAAAAAAAGAAAGAAAGAAAGAAAUCCCUGAACCCUUUCACGCUAUAUUUGCUCGCACGUACAGGUUUCUUCAGUGUUAACCGUGUUCAUCACAUUGAUGUGCUGUUUCACUUCAUGCUGUGUGAUGUGAACUUCAGCCAGAGCAAGGAGAAAGCAGUAUAUACUCUGAAAAGGACCCCGCACCGUGUUCACCCAAACAGCACCUUCUCAUGCAUCUCAGAGCCUUCGGCCUCUGGGCCACCUCCUCACUCCCCCAGGGGUGCUCUGAAGCCUUAAGCAGUCUGCUUUUCUUUUUCUUUUCUUUCUUUCUUUUUUUUUUUUUAACAGAGUCUCGCUCUUGUUGCCCAGGCUGGAGUGCAGUGGUGUGAUCUUGGCUCACUGCAACCUCUGCCUCCCGGGUUCAAGCGAUUCUCCUGCCUCAGCCUCCCGAGUAGCUGGGAUUACAAGCAUGCGCCACCACACCUGGCUAAUUUUGUAUUUUUAGUAGAAAUGGGGUUUCUCCAUGUUGGUCAGGCUGGUCUCCAACUCCCGACCUCAGGUGAUCCACCUGCGUCAGCCUCCCAAAGUGUUGGGAUUACAGGUGUGAGCCACCACACCUGCCUCUCUUUUUUUUCUUUUUCUUUUCUUUUCUUUUUUUUUUUUUUUUUGAGAAGGAUUCUCGCUCUGUCACCCAGACUGGAGUGCAGUGGCGAGAUCUGGGCUCACUGCAACCUCCACCUCCCGGGUUCAAGCGAUUUUCCUGCCUCAGCCCUCUGAGUAGCUGAGACUACAGAUGCCCACCACCACGCCCACCUAAUUUUUUGUAUUUUUAGUAAAGACGGGGUUUCACCGUGUUAGCCAGGAUGGUCUCACUCUCCUAACCUCAUGAUGUGCCUGCCUCGGCCUCCCAAAGUGCUGGGAUUAUAGGCGUGAGCCACCGUGCCUGGCCAGCAGUCUGCCUUUCAUGUGCCUCUUUGUAUUUACUGGUUUUUUUGUUUUUGUUUUUUGGUUUUUUUUUUUUUUGGAGACAGAGUCUCACUCUGUCACUCAGGAUGCUGGAGUGCAGUGGCACAAUCUUGGCUCACUGCAGUCUCUGCCUCCUGGGUUCAAGCAAUUCUCCUGCCUUGGCCUCCUGAGUAGCUGGGACUACAGGCACAUGCCACCACACCCGGCUAAUUUUUGUAUUUUUAUUAGAUACAGGGUUUCGCCAUAUUGGUCAUGCUGGUCUCGAACUCCUGACCUCAGGUGAUCUGCCCACCUCAACCUCCCCAAGUGCUGGGAUUACAGGCAUGAGCCACCAUGCCUGGCCUUCUUGUAUUUAUUGGUUUUAAUCCUCAAUUAGAAACCUCUUAGGCAAUUGUCUAGUUUUUACUAGCUAUCCCUAAUUCUUUUUUUUUUAAGUGAAAUCAAGUUUAUUAAGUAAGUAAAGGAAUAAAAGAAUGGCUACUCCGCCGGGUGCAGUGGCUCACGCCGGUAAUCCCAGCACUUUGGGAGGCCGAGGCGGGGGGAUCACAAGGUCAGGAGUUCAAGACCAGCCUGGCCAAGAUGGUGAAACCUCGUCUCUACUAAAAAUACAAAAAUUAGCCAGACGUGGUGGUGGCGCAUGCCUGUAAUCCCAGCUACAUGGGAGGCUGAGGCAGAGAAUCGCUUGAACCUGGGAGGCGGAGGUUGCAGUGAGCCGAGAUCGCGCUAUUGCACUCCAGCCUGGGUGACAAGAGCAAAACUCCGUCUCAAAAAAAAAAAAAAAAAAAAGGAAUGGCUACUCCAUAGGCAGAGCAGCCGCUAUCCUUAAUUCUUAAAUAACCCAGGCUCGUGCUAUUCAGUAUAUGCUUCCCAUCACUUCCUAAAGGGACCAUGAGCGUACAGGAGUUCAGAGUCCUUUGAGAUCUCCUAGUUCAAUCUCCUCAUGUUACAGAUGGAGAAACUGAGUCUUGGAGGAGUGGGGACUUAAUCUUUCCUCUUGUCUCCCUCCCUAAACCAAUAAACAAUCUUCACCCAGAUCGUCAACACAAACCCACAAACCUCACCAGUUUUUCCCUGCGGGAACCUCCCCAUUGCUCUCCUGGCCCUUCUUAGCAGAGAGCCUCAUAUCCUACGUAGAGGAGAGAGGGGAAGUCAUCAGACAGGAACGCCCUCCACCAAGUUGCCCGUCUGACGUGUGGCCGCCCACACUGGGCAAAGGCCACCCUCCAGGCCCUCACUCUGGGCCAUCCACCUGCUCCUCCAGGAUUCUGCCCUGCACCUCUCACCCCUGGCUGACAUAAUCACCUUCUCCUCCUCCCUUCCAUGAGCAUUGCUUUCAACACACACUCAUGCUCCCAUUCUUCAAAAAAUUUAUCAAUUGUAUGAAACUUUCUCCUGACCCUGCUAGUCACCCUUCCUUUUUGUAAUUAAAAUUAAAAAAAAUUUUUUUUUGAGGCGGAGUCUCACUGUCGCCCAGGCUGGAGUGCAGUGGCGCGAUCUGCCUCCCGGGUUCAUGCCACUCCUGCCUCAGCCUCCCGAGUAGCUGGGACUACAGGCGCCCGCCACCAUGCCCAGCUAAUUUUUUGUAUUUUUAGUAGAGACGGGGUUUCACUGUGUUAGGAUGGUCUCAAUCUCCUGACCUCGUGAUCUGCCUGCCUCGGCCUCUCAAACUGCUGGGAUUACAGGCGUGAGCCACGGCGCCUGGCCUCUUUUUUUUUUUUUUUUUUUUUUGAGACAGAUUCUCGCUCUGUUGCCGAGGCUGGAGUGCAAUGGUGCGAUCCUGGCUCACCGCAACCUCCACCUCCU
RNAcentral lists this long non-coding RNA (10978 nucleotides) under Homo sapiens (human). Its description in RNAcentral is "non-protein coding lnc-IMPDH1-3:4". The record is from RNAcentral. Lineage: Eukaryota; Metazoa; Chordata; Mammalia; Primates; Hominidae.